UACGGAGGGUGCAAGCGUUAUCCGGAUUCACUGGGUUUAAAGGGCGCGUAGGUGGCUUCUUAAGCGUGCGGUGAAAGCCUGGGGCUCAACCCCGGGUCGGCCGUGCGAACUGGGGGGCUGGAGCACUGUAGAGGCAGGCGGAAUUCCGGGUGUAGCGGUGGAAUGCGUAGAGAUCCGGAAGAACACCGGUGGCGAAGGCGGCCUGCUGGGCAGUUGCUGACACUGAGGCGCGACAGCGUGGGGAGCAAACAGG
This 253-nucleotide ribosomal RNA is filed under the name uncultured bacterium. Its description in RNAcentral is "partial 16S ribosomal RNA". It matches the Rfam family "Bacterial small subunit ribosomal RNA", at positions 524 to 776 of the family's 1533-position model. The record is from RNAcentral.